UACAGAGGGGGCAAGCGUUGUCCGGAUUUACUGGGCGUACAGCGCGCGCAGGCGGUUCAUGACGUGCCGUGUGACAUUCCACUGCUUAACAGUGGCGGGCCACGGUAGACGGGUGGACUGGAGGCAGGGAGAGGGAUGUGGAAUACCCGGUGGAGCGGUGAAAUGCGUAGAGAUCGGGUGGAACACCAGCGGCGAAGGCGGCAUCCUGGCCCUGAACUGACGCUGAGGCGCGAGAGCGUGGGGAGCGAACCGG
This 253-nucleotide ribosomal RNA is filed under the name uncultured bacterium. RNAcentral describes it as "partial 16S ribosomal RNA". It matches the Rfam family "Bacterial small subunit ribosomal RNA", at positions 524 to 776 of the family's 1533-position model. The record is from RNAcentral.